UCGACUUUCCAAUAGACCAUAAUCCUUUGCGGCAUGGUGACUUCCGGUUUAUUUCCGGGUUAUGACGAAGUACAAUAACAGCGAUAAAUACGGACAAAUUAUCAUUCCAGAUAUGAUUCAAAUAUGCUGAUGUUACCUUCUGAGAUCAUUACUUUCAAUGAAGAACAUCACUACAAUUGGUUGGGCUGCUAGAUUGGUAGCAACGUGAUGGACAGCUAGUACCUGACAUGCUAUUGUUGGUUUGGCAUCUAUUGCUUACUGGGCCGCUAUAUUGGAUGGACCAUACGUGUUGGUUGAACAAUUAUAAAUGGUUGGACUGGAAGUGUUGGUUGGACCACGAGUGUUGUUUGGACUGCUUGUUGGACAGAAUGUGUGAUAGACAACUAGUGUUAUUUGAAUCACUGUUGGCCUUUGAAGUUGGGUCAUAUUGGUUUGAUUCCCAUUGCUAGUACUUGUUGGAUCUCUUUUGUUGGUUGAACUGUUAUUUUUUGACUGUUAUUAUUGAUAUUCAUACAUGUAUAAUAUGUUAAGUGCUUAGUAUUCAACACUUAUUAUUAUUAUUGUUAUCAUAAGAAAUAUUAUUAUUCAAAAAUCAUAUAAAUAUAUAAAAUUAAAUAUUUUUUUAUGUCCUUG
Molecule: long non-coding RNA, 633 nt
Organism: Mya arenaria
Lineage: Eukaryota; Metazoa; Mollusca; Bivalvia; Myida; Myidae
Exons: 2
Source: RefSeq, a predicted model, not a curated record